CCUACGGGGGGCAGCAGUGGGGAAUUUUGCGCAAUGGGGGAAACCCUGACGCAGCAACGCCGCGUGAGUGAUGAAGGCUCUUGGGUCGUAAAGCUCUGACAGAGGGAAAGAAAUGUGGGUGGCUAAUAUCCAUACCACUUGACGGUACCCUCAAAGGAAGCACCGGCUAACUCCGUGCCAGCAGCCGCGGUAAUACGGGGGGUGCAAGCGUUGUUCGGAUUUAUUGGGCGUAAAGCGCGUGUAGGCGGUUUUAUAAGUCUGAUGUGAAAGCCCCGGGCUCAACCUGGGAAGUGCAUUGGAUACUGUAAGACUUGAAUACGGGAGAGGGCAGUGGAAUUCCUAGUGUAGGAGUGAAAUCCGUAGAUAUUAGGAGGAACACCGGUGGCGAAGGCGGCUGCCUGGACCGAUAUUGACGCUGAGACGCGAAAGCGUGGGUAGCAAACAGGAUUAGAUACCCCGGUAGUCGAA
Molecule: ribosomal RNA, 468 nt
Filed under: uncultured Geobacter sp.
Lineage: Bacteria; Pseudomonadati; Thermodesulfobacteriota; Desulfuromonadia; Geobacterales; Geobacteraceae
Description: bacterial SSU rRNA
Rfam family: Bacterial small subunit ribosomal RNA
Source: RNAcentral